Mastomys coucha (southern multimammate mouse) is the source of this 168-nucleotide long non-coding RNA. RefSeq lists it as uncharacterized. The transcript is spliced from 2 exons. The record is from RefSeq and is a predicted model, not a curated record. Lineage: Eukaryota; Metazoa; Chordata; Mammalia; Rodentia; Muridae.
CAGAAAGUAGAUCAUUCGGAGAGACAUAGAAGAUAAAUGGAACAAGGACAAGAAGCAAAACUACUUCCAAGCUUGGGAUCUGGUGGAAGAAAAGAGGAAGUCUUCUCAAGCACUUCGAUAAGACUUUCAUCUCUGGACACAAGUCAUGAAAUAAAAGAGAAAUAAUUC